AGUCAAUCUGCCCUCAGGACGGGGAUAACCUCGAGAAAUUGAGGUUAAACUCCGAUGGGCCAAGUAUGCUGGAAUGCUUCUUGACCAAAACAGGGCGGCGAAUCGUAGCCGUUUCUGCCUGAGGAUGAGACUGCGCCCGAUCAGGUUGUUGGUGGGGUAACGGCCCACCAAGCCGAUAAUCGGUAGGGGCAAUGGGAGUUGGAGCCCCGAGAAGGGCACUGAGACAAGGGCCCUAGUCCUACGGGAUGCAGCAGGCGCGAAACCUCUGCAAUGCGCGAAAGCGUGACAGGGGAACUCUGAGUGCUACACCACGCGUGUAGCUUUUUGCAAGCUUAAGUCGCUUGUAGAAUAAGGGCUGGGCAAGACUAGUGCCAGCCGCCGCGGUAACACUAGCGGCCCGAGUGGUGUCCACGAAUAUUGGGUCUAAAGAGUCCGUAGCUGGCCCGUUAAGUUUCCUGUGAAAUCUCAGGGCUCAACUCUGAGGCGUGCAGGAAAUACUGGCGAGGCUUGAGAGCGGGGGAGGUCAAGAGUACUCAUGGGGUAGCGGUAAAAUGUUGUAAUCCUAUGAGGACUUCCAGUGGCGAAGGCGCUUGACCAAAACGCGUCUGACAGUGAGGGACGAAGGCUAGGAGAACGAAUCGGAUUAGAUACCCGAGUAGCCCUAGCAGUAAAUGAUGCAGACUGUGGUGUUGCAACAGCUUCGAGCUGUUGCAGUGCCGUAGCGUAGGUGUUAAGUCUGCCACCUGGGGAGUACGGCCGCAAGGCUGAAACUUAA
This 775-nucleotide ribosomal RNA is filed under the name uncultured archaeon. RNAcentral describes it as "bacterial SSU rRNA". It matches the Rfam family "Archaeal small subunit ribosomal RNA", at positions 102 to 859 of the family's 1478-position model. The record is from RNAcentral.